GGAUUAGAUACCCUGGUAGUCCACGCCGUAAACGAUGGUCACUAGUUGUUGGGGCUUUAUGCUUCAGUGAUUAAGAGAAAUUGAUAAGUGACCCACCUGGGGAGUACGAUCGCAAGAUUGAAACUCAAAGGAAUUGACGGGGGCCCGCACAAGCGGUGGAGCAUGUGGUUUAAUUCGAUGAUACGCGAGGAACCUUACCAGGGCUUAAAUGUAAGUUGCAUAGACCAGAGAUGGUCUUUUCUUCGGACUACUUACAAGGUGCUGCAUGGUUGUCGUCAGCUCGUGCUG
RNAcentral lists this ribosomal RNA (288 nucleotides) under uncultured bacterium. RNAcentral's name for it is "partial 16S ribosomal RNA". It matches the Rfam family "Bacterial small subunit ribosomal RNA", at positions 775 to 1067 of the family's 1533-position model. The record is from RNAcentral.